GAGUUUGAUCCUGGCUCAGGACGAACGCUGGCGGCGUGCCUAAUACAUGCAAGUGGAACGCAUGAUUGAUACCGGAGCUUGCUCCACCAUUAAUCAUGAGUCGCGAACGGGUGAGUAACGCGUAGGUAACCUACCUCAUAGCGGGGGAUAACUAUUGGAAACGAUAGCUAAUACCGCAUAACAGUCUUUGACACAUGUUAUUAGUUUAAAAGGGGCAAUUGCUCCACUAUCAGAUGGACCUGCGUUGUAUUAGCUAGUUGGUAAGGUAACGGCUUACCAAGGCGACGAUACAUAGCCGACCUGAGAGGGUGAUCGGCCACACUGGGACUGAGACACGGCCCAGACUCCUACGGGAGGCAGCAGUAGGGAAUCUUCGGCAAUGGGGGCAACCCUGACCGAGCAACGCCGCGUGAGUGAAGAAGGUUUUCGGAUCGUAAAGCUCUGUUGUAAGAGAAGAACGGAUGUGGGAGUGGAAAAUCCAUGUCGUGACGGUAUCUUACCAGAAAGGGACGGCUAACUACGUGCCAGCAGCCGCGGUAAUACGUAGGUCCCGAGCGUUGUCCGGAUUUAUUGGGCGUAAAGCGAGCGCAGGCGGUUUCAUAAGUCUGAAGUUAAAGGCAGUGGCUUAACCAUUGUACGCUUUGGAAACUGUGAGACUUGAGUGCAGAAGGGGAGAGUGGAAUUCCAUGUGUAGCGGUGAAAUGCGUAGA
Molecule: ribosomal RNA, 710 nt
Filed under: uncultured bacterium
Lineage: Bacteria
Description: bacterial SSU rRNA
Rfam family: Bacterial small subunit ribosomal RNA
Source: RNAcentral